This 1381-nucleotide ribosomal RNA is filed under the name uncultured bacterium. Its description in RNAcentral is "16S ribosomal RNA". It matches the Rfam family "Bacterial small subunit ribosomal RNA", at positions 27 to 1399 of the family's 1533-position model. The record is from RNAcentral.
GAUUGAACGCUGGCGGUAUGCUUAACACAUGCAAGUCGAACGGAAACGAUACUAGCUUGCUAGUAGGCGUCGAGUGGCGGACGGGUGAGUAACGCGUAGGAAUCUGCCUGAUAGUGGGGGAUAGCCCGAAGAAAUUCGGAUUAAUACCGCAUAAUCUAUUCGUAGUAAAGUGGGGGACUUUCGAGCCUCACGCUAUCAGAUGAGCCUGCGUAAGAUUAGCUAGUUGGUAGGGUAAAAGCCUACCAAGGCAACGAUCUUUAGCUGGUCUGAGAGGAUGAUCAGCCACAUCGGGACUGAGACACGGCCCGAACUCCUACGGGAGGCAGCAGUGGGGAAUAUUGGACAAUGGGGGCAACCCUGAUCCAGCAAUACCGCGUGUGUGAAGAAGGCCUGAGGGUUGUAAAGCACUUUCAAUUGUGAAGAAAAGUUAACGGUUAAUAACCGUUAGCCUUGACGUUAACUUUAGAAGAAGCACCGGCUAACUCCGUGCCAGCAGCCGCGGUAAUACGGAGGGUGCAAGCGUUAAUCGGAAUUACUGGGCGUAAAGCGUGCGUAGGCGGUUUAUUAAGUCAGAUGUGAAAGCCCCGGGCUUAACCUGGGAACUGCAUUUGAAACUGGUCAACUAGAGUAUGGUAGAGGAAAGUGGAAUUUCUGGUGUAGCGGUGAAAUGCGUAGAUAUCAGAAGGAACAUCAAUGGCGAAGGCAGCUUUCUGGACCAAUACUGACGCUGAGGUACGAAAGCGUGGGUAGCAAACAGGAUUAGAUACCCUGGUAGUCCACGCCGUAAACGAUGAUAACUAGCCGUUGGGGGGAUUUACCCUUUAGUGGCGAAGCUAACGCGUUAAGUUAUCCGCCUGGGGAGUACGGCCGCAAGGUUAAAACUCAAAGGAAUUGACGGGGACCCGCACAAGCGGUGGAGCAUGUGGUUUAAUUCGAUGCAACGCGAAGAACCUUACCUGGUCUUGACAUCCUGCGAACUUUCUAGAAAUAGAUUGGUGCCUUCGGGAACGCAGUGACAGGUGCUGCAUGGCUGUCGUCAGCUCGUGUCGUGAGAUGUUGGGUUAAGUCCCGUAACGAGCGCAACCCCUAUCCUUAUUUGCCAGCACGUCAUGGUGGGAACUAUAAGGAGACUGCCGGUGAUAAACCGGAGGAAGGCGGGGACGACGUCAAGUCAUCAUGGCCCUUACGACCAGGGCUACACACGUGCUACAAUGGGAAGGACAAAGAGCCGCGAAGCCGCGAGGUGUAGCUAAUCUCAGAAACCUUUUCGUAGUCCGGAUUGGAGUCUGCAACUCGACUCCAUGAAGUCGGAAUCGCUAGUAAUCGUAGAUCAGAAUGCUACGGUGAAUACGUUCCCGGGUCUUGUACACACCGCCCGUCA